Molecule: ribosomal RNA, 402 nt
Filed under: Escherichia coli
Lineage: Bacteria; Pseudomonadati; Pseudomonadota; Gammaproteobacteria; Enterobacterales; Enterobacteriaceae
Description: bacterial SSU rRNA
Rfam family: Bacterial small subunit ribosomal RNA
Source: RNAcentral
UUAAAUUGAAGAGUUUGAUCAUGGCUCAGAUUGAACGCUGGCGGCAGGCCUAACACAUGCAAGUCGAACGGUAACAGGAAACAGCUUGCUGUUUCGCUGACGAGUGGCGGACGGGUGAGUAAUGUCUGGGAAACUGCCAGAUGGAGGGGGAUAACUACUGGAAACGGUAGCUAAUACCGCAUAACGUCGCAAGACCAAAGAGGGGGACCUUCGGGCCUCUUGCCAUCGGAUGUGCCCAGAUGGGAUUAGCUAGUAGGUGGGGUAACGGCUCACCUAGGCGACGAUCCCUAGCUGGUCUGAGAGGAUGACCAGCCACACUGGAACUGAGACACGGUCCAGACUCCUACGGGAGGCAGCAGUGGGGAAUAUUGCACAAUGGGCGCAAGCCUGAUGCAGCCAUGC